RNAcentral lists this long non-coding RNA (285 nucleotides) under Sorghum bicolor (sorghum). Its description in RNAcentral is "long non-coding RNA (SBIC_LNC013695)". Lineage: Eukaryota; Viridiplantae; Streptophyta; Magnoliopsida; Poales; Poaceae. The record is from RNAcentral.
GUUGAUAACUCAUCUAAGCCUACUCAUGUGUCCAGGCACUUUGUCCAAUCCAAUGUUUCUUGAUCAUUGCCUCCUCCCUGAAAAUAACGAUAAGCUUUCUUUUACAAAUUAUUGAAUAAUUGAACAAAAAUUGCUCACUAUGUAGUCAACCAAAGCAUAAUGGUUUUUCUCCCUUAGUUACACUAUUACUCAUAAGAAUUAGGAACGCAAGGGAUAUGCCAACAACUUUUGGAUAACAUAUAUGAAGUAACUUUACUACUACAGUCACUACUACUUCUCGGUAAC